AGAGUUUGAUCAUGGCUCAGAUUGAACGCUGGCGGCAGGCCUAACACAUGCAAGUCGAACGGUAACAGGAAGCAGCUUGCUGCUUUGCUGACGAGUGGCGGACGGGUGAGUAAUGUCUGGGAAACUGCCUGAUGGAGGGGGAUAACUACUGGAAACGGUAGCUAAUACCGCAUAACGUCGCAAGACCAAAGAGGGGGACCUUCGGGCCUCUUGCCAUCGGAUGUGCCCAGAUGGGAUUAGCUAGUAGGUGGGGUAACGGCUCACCUAGGCGACGAUCCCUAGCUGGUCUGAGAGGAUGACCAGCCACACUGGAACUGAGACACGGUCCAGACUCCUACGGGAGGCAGCAGUGGGGAAUAUUGCACAAUGGGCGCAAGCCUGAUGCAGCCAUGCCGCGUGUAUGAAGAAGGCCUUCGGGUUGUAAAGUACUUUCAGCGGGGAGGAAGGGAGUAAAGUUAAUACCUUUGCUCAUUGACGUUACCCGCAGAAGAAGCACCGGCUAACUCCGUGCCAGCAGCCGCGGUAAUACGGAGGGUGCAAGCGUUAAUCGGAAUUACUGGGCGUAAAGCGCACGCAGGCGGUUUGUUAAGUCAGAUGUGAAAUCCCCGGGCUCAACCUGGGAACUGCAUCUGAUACUGGCAAGCUUGAGUCUCGUAGAGGGGGGUAGAAUUCCAGGUGUAGCGGUGAAAUGCGUAGAGAUCUGGAGGAAUACCGGUGGCGAAGGCGGCCCCCUGGACGAAGACUGACGCUCAGGUGCGAAAGCGUGGGGAGCAAACAGGAUUAGAUACCCUGGUAGUCCACGCCGUAAACGAUGUCGACUUGGAGGUUGUGCCCUUGAGGCGUGGCUUCCGGAGCUAACGCGUUAAGUCGACCGCCUGGGGAGUACGGCCGCAAGGUUAAAACUCAAAUGAAUUGACGGGGGCCCGCACAAGCGGUGGAGCAUGUGGUUUAAUUCGAUGCAACGCGAAGAACCUUACCUGGUCUUGACAUCCACAGAACUUUCCAGAGAUGGAUUGGUGCCUUCGGGAACUGUGAGACAGGUGCUGCAUGGCUGUCGUCAGCUCGUGUUGUGAAAUGUUGGGUUAAGUCCCGCAACGAGCGCAACCCUUAUCCUUUGUUGCCAGCGGUCCGGCCGGGAACUCAAAGGAGACUGCCAGUGAUAAACUGGAGGAAGGUGGGGAUGACGUCAAGUCAUCAUGGUCGCGAGAGCAAGCGGACCUCAUAAAGUGCGUCGUAGUCCGGAUUGGAGUCUGCAACUCGACUCCAUGAAGUCGGAAUCGCUAGUAAUCGUGGAUCAGAAUGCCACGGUGAAUACGUUCCCGGGCCUUGUACACACCGCCCGUCACACCAUGGGAGUGGGUUGCAAAAGAAGUAGGUAGCUUAACCUUCGGGAGGGCGCUUACCACUUUGUGAUUCAUGACUGGGGUGAAGUCGUAACAAGGUAACCGUAGGGGAACCUGCGGUUG
RNAcentral lists this ribosomal RNA (1466 nucleotides) under Escherichia coli. Its description in RNAcentral is "bacterial SSU rRNA". It matches the Rfam family "Bacterial small subunit ribosomal RNA". The record is from RNAcentral. Lineage: Bacteria; Pseudomonadati; Pseudomonadota; Gammaproteobacteria; Enterobacterales; Enterobacteriaceae.